This 1245-nucleotide long non-coding RNA is filed under the name Androctonus crassicauda. The record is from RNAcentral. Lineage: Eukaryota; Metazoa; Arthropoda; Arachnida; Scorpiones; Buthidae.
CCAACAGAUGUUCCUUCUUUGAUUGAUGUCUGUGCUUUCCUAAACUUUGUGAUGAAAAUUAGCAUCAACAGCAAACAAAUAAAUCAUAUUGAUUCUAUUGACAGAAUGCAUAUAAAACAUGGUCACUGGAAGUUCAUUCUUACAUUAGGAAAAUAUGUGGAAGAAAAACAGUAAGCUCCCUGCUAGCAUAAUUUCUUUCAAGUUUCUCCUGUAAGAUUAUUAGAUCUCUGGUAUAGAAAUUCUACAUGGGUAAAACAUUUGUCAUCUUUGGAAAAGAUGCACAUCCAAGGACCACUUUUAGAGAUAAAAUAAAUAAUUUGCCCCUCGUGUUUGGCUCUUAGAUCCCUAAGAGAUUACACAUCUAUGCACCUUCCAUAAUUAGUGAAUUUGAAGGCCUAGUAGUGCACUCAGAAUUCCAUCAUUGCCAAUAAGCAUUUAUUGGCAAUGGUGGCAUUCUGAGUGCCCAACCAGAUUCUGUUCCUGUAAAGGAACAGAAUUUGGUUGGGCUUAUUUGGUAAUGGUAGGACUUCUUCAUGUGAACCAAGUUGGGUUUGUUAGCACAUUAUGAUUGAUUUCUUCAACAGUCAUACAAGAAAUCAGUGAUACAACUUUAGUAUUAGGAUCUAAGAAUAAAGGACUCCAUAUUCACCUCAGUAGAAUAUAAUUUUAGCUGAAAACAGAGAAUCUAUUUGUAAGUCUACUUUCCCUUAAAAAAAAGAAUAGAACCUACAGAUUUAUUCUUACUGGCAUUACAAAUGCCAGAAGAGAAUCCAAGAGAGCUAAUUAAGAAAUGUAUCUCAGUUGCUGAAGGCUAUUGGUAACAAUAUUUUCCCUUUUAACCAUAAAAGAUGUAUCACUCAGAGUUACCACCCAAAGAUUUGUUCUUAAGAAUCAUGCAGGAAAAACCGGAGGAAGACUAAUGAUCACCACCUGGCUAUCCUUUAAUUCAGGUGGAAGGCUAAAUGUGACAAGGUUUUGCCUUGUGCCUCGAAGGGAUUAUUUAUGAUAUUGCAUCUUUUGCUACUCCAAUAUUAUUCAACCAUCAGUACAAUGCCUCAUACCUUGAUUUGGAAUAGAACUAGAACUGCUAUAACCAAGGAAGCAGCUGUGGCUCAAGGGGGGCAACAAAGGAUAGGGAGUUCAUGCCUAAAUGUGAACUCCCUAUUUUUGUUGCUCCUCUUUAUAACAAGGACAUGGAGUUGGAAUUAAAGAAUUUUGGAUUUAAAUUUUUUAAAUUAUAGAAGG